GCCUUCGUGGUCUAAUGGUCAGCACACUGAGCCGGUAUUUCCUAGGUCCGUGGUUCGAUCCCCGGCGAAGGCA
Molecule: non-coding RNA, 73 nt
Organism: Stegodyphus mimosarum
Lineage: Eukaryota; Metazoa; Arthropoda; Arachnida; Araneae; Eresidae
Source: Rfam